ACGAGCGCACCCUUGCCCUUAUUUGCCAGCACGUAAUGGUGGGCACUCUAAGGAGACUGCCGGUGACAAACCGGAGGAAGGUGGGGAUGACGUCAAGUCAUCAUGGCCCUUACGGCCAGGGCUACACACGUGCUACAAUGGUUGGUACAACGGGCUGCCAAGUCGCGAGACGGAGCUAAUCCCAUAAAACCAAUCGUAGUCCGGAUCGCAGUCUGCAACUCGACUGCGUGAAGUCGGAAUCGCUAGUAAUCGUGGAUCAGAAUGCCGCGGUGAAUACGUUCCCGGGCCUUGUACACACCGCCCGU
Molecule: ribosomal RNA, 305 nt
Filed under: uncultured bacterium
Lineage: Bacteria
Description: bacterial SSU rRNA
Rfam family: Bacterial small subunit ribosomal RNA
Source: RNAcentral